Molecule: ribosomal RNA, 453 nt
Filed under: uncultured soil bacterium
Lineage: Bacteria
Description: bacterial SSU rRNA
Rfam family: Bacterial small subunit ribosomal RNA
Source: RNAcentral
AGAACGAACGCUGGCGGCAUGCCUAAUACAUGCAAGUCGAACGAACACUUCGGUGUUAGUGGCGCACGGGUGCGUAACGCGUGGGAAUCUGCCCUUGGGUUCGGAAUAACAGUUGGAAACGACUGCUAAUACCGGAUGAUAUCGAAAGAUCAAAGAUUUAUCGCCCAGGGAUGAGCCCGCGUAGGAUUAGCUAGUUGGUGAGGUAAAGGCUCACCAAGGCGACGAUCCUUAGCUGGUCUGAGAGGAUGAUCAGCCACACUGGGACUGAGACACGGCCCAGACUCCUACGGGAGACAGCAGUAGGGAAUAUUGGACAAUGGGCGCAAGCCUGAUCCAGCAAUGCCGCGUGAGUGAUGAAGGCCGUUAGGGUGUAAAGCUUCUUUACCCGAGAUGAUAAUGACAGUAGUCGGAGAAGUAACGCCCCGGCUAACUCCGUGCCGAGCAGCCGACGGU